Molecule: long non-coding RNA, 1454 nt
Filed under: Homo sapiens (human)
Lineage: Eukaryota; Metazoa; Chordata; Mammalia; Primates; Hominidae
Description: HSALNT0383222
Source: RNAcentral
UGAAAAAUAAGGCUCUAGGUUUCAUAAGGCACAUAACGCGCUGGCUGCGGGAACCCCAGUGCAGAGCCAGGACUGCGCAGUUCAGAUGGCUUUUCCUUCAGCCGGAGAAGCAAUCCCUUCUAAAUUAAAUGCCAGGUGUGAAACAGGUUUCCUUGUCUCUGCUCCUCUGCUGUGAAUAAACAGACAUUCCUGCGCAAGUGCAAGGUAAUCCAUGCAUAAUUCAUCCCGGGGCUCCGCUUUCCAGAUGUGCAGCCACCCGUGGGUUCCGGUGGCCGCCUGGCUUUGUCUCCUGGAGAGGCAAUAUCGCCGGCAGCCAGAUCUGAUCUGACUCCGGCCAGCGGCCUCCCUGGCUGCAGCUGAUCUGUGGCUGUCUUUGUGCCUGCCCGUGGCCCUGCCGCCCAAGCUCCCCGCCUGCUGCUGUCUGGGAUCCCUUGUCGUUGGCUUACGUUGACUUCUCAUACUUCACUUUUUAUACUUCAAAGUUGAGAUUGAAUUUACCUUUAUGAAGCAGACGUUUCUUGCUCAACGUGGAGGAUUUAUGGUUUCCUCUUGCUGGCCUGUUGGAAGGCCUUUUCCAAGACAGAAAGAACUUCUGGAUGUUUAAAGAUUAUUGGUCCUUUUUAUUGUGAGAGAAAGGAGCUAGAGAACUGGUUUCCAUUGCCUCCUUUUGGGGGUGUGUGCCUUCUGCCGGCCAGGGACAGCUAAACAUUUUACAUGGGUCAUUUACAGGUAAUCUUUCAGGAAGACAAACAUCAAAUGCAUAUUCGGUGCUGCUCGGGACCUUAUUCAUCCCUUUGAUGAAUGUGCCUCAGAAAGGACGUGUGGAGGACAUUGCAGCAGGCUGUGUGGGUUUAUGUAGCCACCCUGUGUUCCCUAGCUUUGUGACUUCAGGAAGUUACCUUUCUUUCUCCUCACCUGUAACAGAGUUGCAAGGGUUGUUAUAAGGGUCAAAAACAAUACACGUCAAGUGCUUAAAAUCAUACCUGGCAACAAUAAAUGCUUCAUAAAUGUGCUCUUUUGCCAUGUUAUCCUGUUUAGUCAGCACUGAAGGCUGCCGUUUGUAUCUUUAUUUUUAGCUAUAAAAACAUUGAAGCUUGGACUCACCCCAUGUCACAAACUAGGAAUCCAGUAGCCCAGCUAAAUUCACCGGCAGUAUGUCUGAAUUCAAACCCUGUGGACUCCAUUUUAUUCUGUACUACCCUUCUCUCUGGUUUUCCCUCCUGGAAAUUAACCCCAGGAUCCUGGAUUUCCAAGUUGACAAGUAAAGCAACAACAACUAAAAGCUAUACUCAGAAAAUAAAUUUUCACCACUGCAACCUGUCUCCUUAAAAUGGAGCUAUGCUAACAAACACUGCCUUAAUAAAAUCAAAUGAGGUGAAUACUACAACACACAGGAAAGACCCUUGGCCUCUGGGCAUGCAGAGCCUAAAAUUUGGAGCCAGAUGAACCUACCC